UUUUGAAAAGCCAUCUGUGUAUGCAGUCACUUUAUCCAUAGCUCCAAAAGUCACUUUCAUUUCGUGGAAGAGAAAGAGUCCAGAGAACAAAGUGGUGCUCUGGUUCCAGCAGAUGACCCGUAUUAAUAGGCAUCUGAAGAGGACCGCACAACAGAGAUUGCUGGUUUAAAUGAACAGUGCCCUGUCUCCGACACAAAGACUUCCAGGAACUUACAGAGGAAUUCGUACACCUCAAUUACUGCACACUUGGCGGAAGUUUUUUGUUGAUCCUAUGGAAAAGAUAUUAUCCGAGUAUAACCAUUAUGAUUGUUUGCUGUUUGCUUAAAACUGGCUGAAAAAUGACAGAUUUAACCGAUUUGACUUUCUUCCCCUGCGUUGAAAGCCUUCCGUUCUACAGGAAUAUUUGAAAACCCGUUCUAUAGCUGAUCUUAUACUCUAUGCAAAGUUUGGUGGGACGAAGUCUAUGUCAUCAGUUGCUUCAAGUUUAGCUCAGUUUGAAGAAAUACAACAGAUGUACUCAAUAUUAUUCUUUUGACUACAAGAAACAGGAAAUUUGACUCUGUGCUUGGUAAAUGUCCCGAAAAUUCAACAGAUUUAAAAAAAAAAAAAGAGUGAUGUUUCAGAUCAUUUCCCAUUUUUUUUCUUUCUGCCAAACUUAGGGUGUUGUCUUUCCACACAAUUGUACAUUCAUAGUUUCAAGGUGGCUGCAGCAGCUCCAGCAUUGCCCAAGAACAAUAACGUUCCAGAGCUAGGAGUGAGGCAGAGCCAGGGGCCAUCACUUUCUCCCAUUUUUUGUUUUUUUAAUUUUUGAAAGUAAGAAAAAUCACUCUGACAUAUUUCAGGAGAUCUUCUUCUUUUAUCACUGGUUAGAAUGGAAUCCUAUGACCAUUUCCAUAUGAAUUAUUAGCAAGGGCCAUGGAAAUACCAACUUUCACAUUAAAAAAUCUACCCUCCAGUGUUGGGAAGGGAGGGGAGGGACCCAACAUCAAUUGAAACACACAGCUACCUGAUAUUUUUUAUUUAACUUUUUUUUUCAGUGCUAGGGAUUGAACCCAGAGCCUUGCUCAUUCUAGACAAGUGCUCUGCCACUGAGCUAUAUACUCCCAGUCUGGCCACCUAAGUCUUUUUUUUUUCUGUAAAAAUUAUAUCUAGGGACAUUUUACUACUGAGCUAUAUACCCAGCCCUUUUAUUUAUUUAUUUAUUUAUUUUUUGAGAGAGGGCCUCACUAAGUCUCUGAGGCUGGCUGUGACAUUGCAACCCUCCUGCCUCAGCCUCCCAAGCUUCUGGGAUUACAGGUUUGCACCACCACCACGCCCAGAUGCUUACCUAAUUCUUGAACCAGUUUUAACAAAGAAGCAGGUCAGGAGAUGGACCUGUAUAGACAACCAGAAGUCUCCAACCCAUUGUAAUUCAACAGGAUGAGAGCUUUAAAAGACGUAUAUACAUGAUCCUACGAAUUUUUGUAAAAUAAUCUGAGAAUAUAUCUUUUGUGUGUGUGAAGUUGAUUAGUGCUGUCUCUGAAUUCAGUCCGAAUUUACAGAAGGCCGAACAAAUCUAAAAUCCUGGCCAGGAUUUUAUCAAAGCAUCAUUCUCUUAAUAACAAAAUUCUCCUUUUCAU
This 1619-nucleotide long non-coding RNA is filed under the name Marmota monax (woodchuck). The record is from RNAcentral. Lineage: Eukaryota; Metazoa; Chordata; Mammalia; Rodentia; Sciuridae.